AGAGUUUGAUCCUGGCUCAGGAUGAACGCUAGCUACAGGCUUAACACAUGCAAGUCGAGGGGCAGCGGGAUUGAAGCUUGCUUCAAUUGCCGGCGACCGGCGCACGGGUGAGUAACGCGUAUCCAACCUUCCGUACACUCAGGGAUAGCCUUUCGAAAGAAAGAUUAAUACCUGAUGGUAUGAUGAAAUUGCAUGAUAGCAUCAUUAAGAUUUAUCGGUGUACGAUGGGGAUGCGUUCCAUUAGGUAGUAGGCGGGGUAACGCCACCUAGCCUACGAUGGAUAGGGGUUCUGGAGAGGAAGGUCCCCCANAUUGGAACUGAGACACGGUCCAAACUCCGUACGGGAGGCCA
This 351-nucleotide ribosomal RNA is filed under the name uncultured bacterium. RNAcentral's name for it is "bacterial SSU rRNA". It matches the Rfam family "Bacterial small subunit ribosomal RNA", at positions 8 to 351 of the family's 1533-position model. The record is from RNAcentral.